Molecule: non-coding RNA, 73 nt
Organism: Desulfotomaculum sp. 46_296
Lineage: Bacteria; Bacillati; Bacillota; Clostridia; Eubacteriales; Desulfotomaculaceae
Source: Rfam
GCCAUCAUAGCUCAGUAGGUAGAGCACGUCCUUGGUAAGGACGAGGUCACCGGUUCGAGCCCGGUUGAUGGCU